RNAcentral lists this ribosomal RNA (518 nucleotides) under uncultured bacterium. Its description in RNAcentral is "bacterial SSU rRNA". It matches the Rfam family "Bacterial small subunit ribosomal RNA", at positions 375 to 884 of the family's 1533-position model. The record is from RNAcentral.
ACGAAAGUCUGAUGGAGCAACGCCGCGUGAGCGAUGAAGGCCUUCGGGUCGUAAAGCUCUGUUGUUAGGGAAGAACAAGUACCGGAGUAACUGCCGGUACCUUGACGGUACCUAACCAGAAAGCCACGGCUAACUACGUGCCAGCAGCCGCGGUAAUACGUAGGUGGCAAGCGUUGUCCGGAAUUAUUGGGCGUAAAGCGCGCGCAGGCGGUCCUUUAAGUCUGAUGUGAAAGCCCACGGCUCAACCGUGGAGGGUCAUUGGAAACUGGGGGACUUGAGUGCAGAAGAGGAAAGCGGAAUUCCACGUGUAGCGGUGAAAUGCGUAGAGAUGUGGAGGAACACCAGUGGCGAAGGCGGCUUUCUGGUCUGUAACUGACGCUGAGGCGCGAAAGCGUGGGGAGCAAACAGGAUUAGAUACCCUGGUAGUCCACGCCGUAAACGAUGAGUGCUAAGUGUUAGGGGGUUUCCGCCCCUUAGUGCUGCAGCUAACGCAUUAAGCACUCCGCCUGGGGAGUACG